CUUCUUCAUCAACACAACUGUCCCUCUAACCUUUUGUCCAUUGAUAUGAAUAUUGUUCUCAUCUAUAGUAUCAAUAUUAUUCUUGCCACAAACCACUCCAAGCCAUUUCUCCAACAUCUCUUACUUCCAAUUAGAGUAACUGUAGCAAUAUCAGUCUUCUUGACAAUAUGUAUAUGUUCACAACUUCUUGACCAAGAAUUUGGUAGUCAUCUACACCCAACUUGUACAAAUCUUAUACAAUUCACACAUGGAACUGUUGGG
RNAcentral lists this unclassified non-coding RNA (261 nucleotides) under Hevea brasiliensis (rubber tree). Lineage: Eukaryota; Viridiplantae; Streptophyta; Magnoliopsida; Malpighiales; Euphorbiaceae. The record is from RNAcentral.